RNAcentral lists this ribosomal RNA (270 nucleotides) under uncultured archaeon. RNAcentral describes it as "partial 16S ribosomal RNA". It matches the Rfam family "Archaeal small subunit ribosomal RNA", at positions 477 to 747 of the family's 1478-position model. The record is from RNAcentral.
CAGCACCCCAAUUGGUCAGGAUGAUUAUUGGGCCUAAAGCAUCCGUAGCCGGCGGUGUAAGUUUUCGGUUAAAUCUGUACGCUCAACGUACAGGCUGCCGGGAAUACUGCAGCGCUAGGGAGUGGGAGAGGUAGACGGUACUCGGUAGGAAGGGGUAAAAUCCUUUGAUCUAUUGAUGACCACCUGUGGCGAAGGCGGUCUACCAGAACACGUCCGACGGUGAGGGAUGAAAGCUGGGGGAGCAAACCGGAUUAGUUACCCGAGUAGUCC